Canis lupus familiaris (dog) is the source of this 1192-nucleotide long non-coding RNA. RefSeq lists it as uncharacterized. The transcript is spliced from 4 exons. NCBI's taxonomy places the organism in Eukaryota, Metazoa, Chordata, Mammalia, Carnivora, Canidae. The record is from RefSeq and is a predicted model, not a curated record.
CCAGAACACUAACCCUCAAUUCCUAGGCAACAUCGGUGUCUCCCAUGAGGGCCCUGGGAACGUCGCUGGCUCCGUUUCACUGGAAUAUUGAGGUGGAACAGGUACUGGGCUUUCUCAGGUCCUGUCCUCCAUGUAUGUCACACUGUCACUUCUGUCCUACGACAGGGUGUUCCCCUUCAGGAUUCCAGUCGAAAGAAGAGGGACAUUCUCCUGAUAUGGAACUCACAAAAUUUAUCCAGGACUUUUAGUGCUCCUGAAACUCAUUGGGGCCUUCCACCAAGAGCAAGCUGUGAGAGCCCAGAUCGCACACCACCAUCCAUACAUCUUUUCCUUCUUCUCUCGACCUCUGCACACCUCUUCAGCCGAGACUGGGAUCAGGAAAGGAAUUAUAGGAACCUCCUGAGACGUGAAUGGACACAUGUCACCUGUUGCCUGUGAAACCGGUUCCUCCAACUCUUCCUUUACUCACAUCAGGCUUAAAUAAAUGGACUGUGGAAACAGAACAAAAAUUGGCUUAAAGUUGACCGAGGACUUGGGCAGAAAUGAUGUACAUUACUAGAUAGCAUCACUACGAAAACCUGUGUUGAUGAACCUCACUUUUCACCUGCGGUUGGGAGGGAAGUCCCGCAUCUAAUCUCCAUCCUAUUUCUAUCACAGUGAGAGAUCUCAAAUUCUGUCUUCCACACUAAACUGUAAAGACAAUUGCCUUAGUAUUUGAAACCAACACUGGAACACCGAGGUCCUGUGAUCCAUAGAGAAUGAUAGAAGUGGUCCUGGGCCCAAUACAGGGAUAAUCCUCUGGACUACCCUGGACAUUUCUUCUUACUCUUGCCUCACACUUACUCUUCACUUGAGUUCUCCUAAAUUCAGCCAUCAUGCUAUAAGAAGACCCAGAUGACUCCUCAGUUGAUCCCCAGCUCCUCCUGACAUCAAUGUGAGUGAGCCAUCUUGCAUAUCCAGCCUUGUCCAGCCUUCAGAUGGACACAGCCCCAACCACUUUCAACUGCAACUGAAUGACAGACUUUAAGCAGGAAGCACCUAGUUCACCCAGUUUGCCCACAGAAACAUGAAAGAUGAUCCAUUGUUGUCUUAACACAUUAGAUUUGGCACCAUUUGCAACAUACAAUAAACCAGAACAACCACUGAGAAGGCCUUUUGAGAUUUUUGAACAUCUCCCUAAAUUUGGAUAGGA